GGUUAAGCGACCAAGCGUACACGGUGGAUGCCCUGGCAGUCAGAGGCGAUGAAGGACGUGCUAAUCUGCGAAAAGCGCCGGUAAGGUGAUAUGAACCGUUAUAACCGGCGAUGUCCGAAUGGGGAAACCCAGUGUGACUCGUCACACUAUCAUUAACUGAAUCCAUAGGUUAAUGAGGCGAACCGGGGGAACUGAAACAUCUAAGUACCCCGAGGAAAAGAAAUCAACCGAGAUUCCCCCAGUAGCGGCGAGCGAACGGGGAGGAGCCCAGAGCCUGAAUCAGCAUGUGUGUUAGUGGAAGCGUCUGGAAAGGCGCGCGAUACAGGGUGAGAGCCCCGUACACAAAAGCGCAUAUGCUGUGAGCUCGAUGAGUAGGGCGGGACACGUGGUAUCCUGUCUGAAUAUGGGGGGACCAUCCUCCAAGGCUAAAUACUCCUGACUGACCGAUAGUGAACCAGUACCGUGAGGGAAAGGCGAAAAGAACCCCGGCGAGGGGAGUGAAACAGAACCUGAAACCGUGUACGUACAAGCAGUGGGAGCCUCUCUUUAUGGGGGGUGACUGCGUACCUUUUGUAUAAUGGGUCAGCGACUUAUAUUCUGUAGCAAGGUUAACCGCAUAGGGGAGCCGAAGGGAAACCGAGUCUUAAUUGGGCGUUAAGUUGCAGGGUAUAGACCCGAAACCCGGUGAUCUAGCCAUGGGCAGGUUGAAGGUUGGGUAACACUAACUGGAGGACCGAACCGACUAAUGUUGAAAAAUUAGCGGAUGACCUGUGGCUGGGGGUGAAAGGCCAAUCAAACCGGGAGAUAGCUGGUUCUCCCCGAAAGCUAUUUAGGUAGCGCCUCGUGAACUCAUCUCCGGGGGUAGAGCACUGUUUCGGCUAGGGGGCCAUCCCGGCUUACCAACCCGAUGCAAACUGCGAAUACCGGAGAAUGUUAUCACGGGAGACACACGGCGGGUGCUAACGUCCGUCGUGAAGAGGGAAACAACCCAGACCGCCAGCUAAGGUCCCAAAGUCAUGGUUAAGUGGGAAACGAUGUGGGAAGGCCCAGACAGCCAGGAUGUUGGCUUAGAAGCAGCCAUCAUUUAAAGAAAGCGUAAUAGCUCACUGGUCGAGUCGGCCUGCGCGGAAGAUGUAACGGGGCUAAACCAUGCAC
Molecule: ribosomal RNA, 1155 nt
Filed under: Salmonella enterica
Lineage: Bacteria; Pseudomonadati; Pseudomonadota; Gammaproteobacteria; Enterobacterales; Enterobacteriaceae
Description: partial 23S ribosomal RNA
Rfam family: Bacterial large subunit ribosomal RNA
Source: RNAcentral